UGCUUUCCAGAGGAUUAAUUCAGCUUACUUUUCAUAGUGGUUUUGGUUAAGGGUUCCUCUACGUCGGGCUGGCGACUUUAAAACUAGCGCUUGGUGGGAGGCAACCCACCGUUGGUUUAGUUUUUGUUUUUGUUUUCUUGUUCUUUGUCUUUUCGUUUUUUUGUGUUUUUCUUUGUCUUUGGUUACUUGGGCGGAUGCUUUGAUUUUUGGGUGUUAAUGUCUUUGUUUUCAGCGCUGCAUUUUCUACUCUGACUUUGCCGCCAGC
This 265-nucleotide long non-coding RNA is filed under the name Salvia miltiorrhiza (redroot sage). RNAcentral describes it as "long non-coding RNA (SMIL_LNC011434)". The record is from RNAcentral. Lineage: Eukaryota; Viridiplantae; Streptophyta; Magnoliopsida; Lamiales; Lamiaceae.